Long non-coding RNA from Brassica napus (rape), 2171 nucleotides. RefSeq lists it as uncharacterized. The record is from RefSeq and is a predicted model, not a curated record. The transcript has 3 exons. NCBI's taxonomy places the organism in Eukaryota, Viridiplantae, Streptophyta, Magnoliopsida, Brassicales, Brassicaceae.
CGUGACAAACAUUCUUGUAACGACCGUGACCCGAUAAUCCGGUUUUAAUAAAUAAUGGUUUGGUUUAGUUUUAAUUAUUUCUUGAACAAAACCCUUAGUAAACCAAUUAUUUUACCUAACUAUAUAAUUGUCUUAUUCUUCCUAAACGUGAGCCGCCAGCACUCUUCUCCACACCACCUUCUUCUUCUUCUUCCUAAUUCAUGAUCUCCAUGUUCCCUUCUCUCCAUUUUAUUCUUCUCUUGAUGUUGAUAUUGAUGUUGAGCAAAGGAUGGAAUCAUUGCCUCGAGGUCACUGUCUUGCUUGUCGUCCUAGCCACCUCGUCACGUCGGACACACAACCGUGACUUUGGUGCCACCGUCCCAUCACCACCUCUUGACGUUGGGUUGUUGCAGCCCACCGGAGAGACAUGCCGUCAUUGACUUAGUCGCCGCAAGUCACCGCCGUCAAGACCCGUGCAAGUAAAUCAUGAUCUCAUCACUUGCUUGCCCACCAAGUUUCUUAAGUUUGAUUGUUCACUUGUACCAAUUUCUGAGCCAACGUCAUGAGCCGUGAACCCAUGCGUAAAGGUUUAAGUGACUUUGUUUAUUUCUUGAGCAGGAAGUUACUGUAAACCCUAGCCCUAACUGUCUCUUUUUGUUUAUUUUUCCGAUCGUUUCCUUUAUGCGCUAAGGUGAAGCCGGUCUAAGCCUUUCCAAUCAUUGGUUUCUUUUAUGUUUCCGGUUCUCCGAUAUUGGCUAAGGUGAGACCGACGGGCAGGAGUGAUUACUAUCGGAUUGGUGCUUUGGGAGUUUUAUUUCUUUCUUUUUCAAACUUGCGGAUUUUAUGUUUUUAUCGAUAUUCUCAAGAUUUAUUAUGUUAUUUGGAUUUAUGGCUAUUUAUUGGAUUUACGACUUUGGAGUUGAACUUUUGAGAAGUAAUAAAUGGAGAUUUCAGAAUUUUAUUUGUUUAUUUUAUUUUGGAAAAUACGGGUGUUACAAUUUGGUAUCAGAGCGGGGUUCCGUCCCGGCUCUGACCCGGGAUGGCGAUUUAUGGGACUCGGAUUUCAACAAUUUUCAAUGUUUUGGGAUUGAGAGUUAAAAAAAAAAAAAAAAAAGGUGACACCCUUUUGUCCAGUAUCAUUUGGUUAGUUGUUAGCGUUACUAACUCUUUUAUUUUUGCAAGAGAAUACCAAGUUUCAAUUUGUUUUGUUGUUUGCUUUAUCUUGUGUUCUUCUUUCUUUCAUAGCCGUUGAAGUUCUUUCCCGGUUCUUCAAGGAAUUCGGGGCGAAUUCCGGUUAAGUGGGGAAGAAUUGUAACGACCGUGACCCGAUAAUCCGGUUUUAAUAAAUAAUGGUUUGGUUUAGUUUUAAUUAUUUCUUGAACAAAACUCUUAGUAAACCAAUUAUUUUACCUAACUAUAUAAUUGUCUUAUUCUUCCUAAACGUGAGCCGCCAGCACUCUUCUCCACACCACCUUCUUCUUCUUCUUCCUAAUUCAUGAUCUCCAUGUUCCCUUCUCUCCAUUUUAUUCUUCUCUUGAUGUUGAUAUUGAUGUUGAUCAAAGGAUGGAAUCAUUGCCUCGAGGUCACUGUCUUGCUUGUCGUCCUAGCCACCUCGUCACGUCGGACACACAACCGUGACUUUGGUGCCACCGUCCCAUCACCACCUCUUGACGUUGGGUUGUUGCAGCCCACCGGAGAGACAUGCCGUCAUUGACUUAGUCGCCGCAAGUCACCGCCGUCAAGACCCGUGCAAGUAAAUCAUGAUCUCAUCACUUGCUUGCCCACCAAGUUUCUUAAGUUUGAUUGUUCACUUGUACCAAUUUCUGAGCCAACGUCAUGAGCCGUGAACCCAUGCGUAAAGGUUUAAGUGACUUUGUUUAUUUCUUGAGCAGGAAGUUACUGUAAACCCUAGCCCUAACUGUCUCUUUUUGUUUAUUUUUCCGAUCGUUUCCUUUAUGCGCUAAGGUGAAGCCGGUCUAAGCCUUUCCAAUCAUUGGUUUCUUUUAUGUUUCCGGUUCUCCGAUAUUGGCUAAGGUGAGACCGACGGGCAGGAGUGAUUACUAUCGGAUUGGUGCUUUGGGAGUUUUAUUUCUUUCUUUUUCAAACUUGCGGAUUUUAUGUUUUUAUCGAUAUUCUCGAGAUUUAUUAUGUUAUUUGGAUUUAUGGCUAUUUAUUGGAUUUACGACUUUGGA